GACGAACGCUGGCGGCGUGCCUAAUACAUGCAAGUCGAACGCACUCUCGUUCAGAUUGAAGGAGUUUGCUCCUGAUUGAUAAACAUUUGAGUGAGUGGCGGACGGGUGAGUAACACGUGGGUAACCUGCCCUAAAGUGGGGGAUAACAUUUGGAAACAGAUGCUAAUACCGCAUAAAACCUAACACCGCAUGGUGUAGGGUUGAAAGAUGGUUUCGGCUAUCACUUUAGGAUGGACCCGCGGUGCAUUAGUUAGUUGGUGAGGUAAAGGCUCACCAAGACCGUGAUGCAUAGCCGACCUGAGAGGGUAAUCGGCCACACUGGGACUGAGACACGGCCCAGACUCCUACGGGAGGCAGCAGUAGGGAAUCUUCCACAAUGGACGAAAGUCUGAUGGAGCAACGCCGCGUGAGUGAAGAAGGUUUUCGGAUCGUAAAACUCUGUUGUUGGAGAAGAAUGUAUCUGAUAGUAACUGAUCAGGUAGUGACGGUAUCCAACCAGAAAGCCACGGCUAACUACGUG
RNAcentral lists this ribosomal RNA (520 nucleotides) under uncultured bacterium. RNAcentral describes it as "partial 16S ribosomal RNA". It matches the Rfam family "Bacterial small subunit ribosomal RNA", at positions 28 to 507 of the family's 1533-position model. The record is from RNAcentral.